RNA transcript from Apis mellifera (honey bee), 580 nucleotides. RefSeq lists it as uncharacterized. The record is from RefSeq and is a predicted model, not a curated record. NCBI's taxonomy places the organism in Eukaryota, Metazoa, Arthropoda, Insecta, Hymenoptera, Apidae. The transcript is spliced from 2 exons.
CAGAUCAUAACGAUGCAAGUGGGUUUUGAUCUAUGUUGGCAACGUCUUGAAGGUUGACCGGAAAUUCGGAAGAGGUGGUCGAUUCUGGAGAAUUAGCACUGACCUAGGGAAGGCCUCGAGGUCGUCGAUGGCACACAUUCCGAGUGUGCCUAUAUUAAGUUAACUGCUUCAUAGCUGCCGAUUGGACGGCUGGUUUGCCAUUGCCAACAUAUAGGUAUAUACGGCAGGGCAUAGGCAAUGCCAAUUGCACGCAUCCGCAAAUUUGCCACCAACUGGCACGCUUAUGUUAUAAAGUUACUGUGCCUCUACCUAAGUGGUUCCUCUCUAAGACAUUGUAUGGGUAAAGAUCGUACAGGAGUUCCUUUGUAAAAGAAUGGAGGAAGAAAGUGGAAGAGAAAAGUGAAAACUUGGUAUUGGGCUCUUAUAUAGUUUCUCUUCUAACAGGACUCGUUUUAAGUAGAAAAACUGGUGAAAUUAAAUCUUCUUUGAAGGAGUGCAGGAUUAUGGAUGUAAAGUGUAAAUUUGAAAUCUGAAUUGUAAAAUGUUUUUUUAAAUGAUAGAAAGGCAAAAAAAAAAAAAA